GGGGGAAUAUUGCACAAUGGGCGAAAGCCUGAUGCAGCCAUGCCGCGUGUAUGAAGAAGGCCUUCGGGUUGUAAAGUACUUUCAGCGGGGAGGAAGGUGUUGUGGUUAAUAACCACAGCAAUUGACGUUACCCGCAGAAGAAGCACCGGCUAACUCCGUGCCAG
RNAcentral lists this ribosomal RNA (164 nucleotides) under uncultured bacterium. RNAcentral describes it as "partial 16S rRNA". It matches the Rfam family "Bacterial small subunit ribosomal RNA", at positions 355 to 511 of the family's 1533-position model. The record is from RNAcentral.